This 253-nucleotide ribosomal RNA is filed under the name uncultured bacterium. Its description in RNAcentral is "partial 16S ribosomal RNA". It matches the Rfam family "Bacterial small subunit ribosomal RNA", at positions 524 to 776 of the family's 1533-position model. The record is from RNAcentral.
UACGUAAGAUGCGAGCGUUAUCCGGAAUUAUUGGGCGUAAAGCGUCCGCAGGUGGUUUGAAAAGUCAAUCAUUAAAUACCAGUGCUCAACAUUGGUGCCGUGGUUGAAACUUUCAUACUAGAAGAUGGGAGAGGUGUGUAGAAUUCUCUAAGUAGGGGUAAAAUCCGUAGAUAUAGAGAGGAAUACCAAAAGCGAAGGCAGCACACUGGACCAUUCUUGACACUCAGGGACGAAAGCGUGGGGAGCGAAAGGG